This 462-nucleotide ribosomal RNA is filed under the name uncultured bacterium. RNAcentral describes it as "bacterial SSU rRNA". It matches the Rfam family "Bacterial small subunit ribosomal RNA", at positions 330 to 791 of the family's 1533-position model. The record is from RNAcentral.
CCCAGACUCCUACGGGAGGCAGCAGUGAGGAAUAUUGGUCAAUGGCCGAGAGGCUGAACCAGCCAAGUCGCGUGAGGGAAGACGGCCCUACGGGUUGUAAACCUCUUUUGUCGGGGAGCAAAGAGAGUCACGUGUGACUCAUUGAGAGUACCCGAAGAAAAAGCAUCGGCUAACUCCGUGCCAGCAGCCGCGGUAAUACGGAGGAUGCGAGCGUUAUCCGGAUUUAUUGGGUUUAAAGGGUGCGCAGGCGGAGGUGCAAGUCAGCGGUCAAAUUGCGGGGCUCAACCCCGUACUGCCGUUGAAACCGGAGCGCUAGAAUUCCGAUGCCGUCGGAGGAAUGUGUGGUGUAGCGGUGAAAUGCAUAGAUAUCACACAGAACACCGAUUGCGAAGGCAUCUGACGAAUCGGAGAUUGACGCUGAUGCACGAAAGCGUGGGUAUCGAACAGGAUUAGAUACCAGUA